Molecule: ribosomal RNA, 143 nt
Filed under: uncultured bacterium
Lineage: Bacteria
Description: partial 16S ribosomal RNA
Rfam family: Bacterial small subunit ribosomal RNA
Source: RNAcentral
UAGCCCUUCGGGGGAAAGAUUUAUCGGGAAAGGAUUGGCCCGCGUUAGAUUAGAUAGUUGGUGGGGUAAUGGCCUACCAAGUCUACGAUCUAUAGCUGGUUUUAGAGGAUGAUCAGCAACACUGGGACUGAGACACGGCCCAG